AAGAGGCAAAAUACUUGGUGUGCAAGCAAUCUUUCACGAGAGACUCUUACUUUUGUUUGCAUUUUGCAAGAGGGUCAUCUAAAGUGAAUUUGAUGUCUUUGAAACAAGAUUACUUGGAAUGGAGAAUGUUACAAUGUACCUACAUUUGGACUACGUUUUUAUUUCUUGACGGUGGAAGAGCUGUGCAGGGCGCUUUUGGAAAAAAUGCUCUAGUUGGAUUUGGUUUGACAACUUACACAAUGCUUGGAUUAGGAGUGGUAAUAUCUCUUUGAACCUUACCAUAAUGAUUUUACUUUGGGUAUUUGUCUCUAUUAGUCUUUGAACAAUACUCUACUUAUUACAAUUUAGCAGCUUAGUCCCUAA
Humulus lupulus (European hop) is the source of this 363-nucleotide long non-coding RNA. RefSeq lists it as uncharacterized. The transcript has 3 exons. Lineage: Eukaryota; Viridiplantae; Streptophyta; Magnoliopsida; Rosales; Cannabaceae. The record is from RefSeq and is a predicted model, not a curated record.